UACGUAGGGGGCAAGCGUUGUCCGGAUUUAUUGGGCGUAAAGAGCGUGUAGGCGGCCGUACAGGUCAGCUGUGAAAACUCGAGGCUCAACCUCGAGACGUCGGUUGAAACCGUACGGCUAGAGUCCGGAAGAGGAGAGUGGAAUUCCCGGUGUAGCGGUGAAAUGCGCAGAUAUCAGGAGGAACACCGAUGGCGAAGGCAGCUCGCUGGGACGGUACUGACGCUGAGGCGCGAAAGCGUGGGGAGCGAACAGG
RNAcentral lists this ribosomal RNA (253 nucleotides) under uncultured bacterium. RNAcentral describes it as "partial 16S ribosomal RNA". It matches the Rfam family "Bacterial small subunit ribosomal RNA", at positions 524 to 776 of the family's 1533-position model. The record is from RNAcentral.